Long non-coding RNA from Sus scrofa (pig), 1311 nucleotides. RefSeq lists it as uncharacterized. NCBI's taxonomy places the organism in Eukaryota, Metazoa, Chordata, Mammalia, Artiodactyla, Suidae. The record is from RefSeq and is a predicted model, not a curated record.
UCUUAUCCCUGUGCAAAAAUCUGCUUCUUAUAGCAGUCGUGGAACCAACGGACUCAUUGCUCUGCCUGCUCCGAAAAGUAUUUUUAUUAUUUUCUUAAACGGAGAAUUAGAAGAAAGGGAUGGAGGUGAGAUGGAGGGGCCCACGGGGUCAAAACCCAUUCCCCUUCUUAUAGGGAAGCCCUCCUUGGAGAUCUGAAACUGACAGGUUUCUCUCUUGGUGGUUAAAUACCGCACUAGCUUCAUUCAGAGGCUCUUCUCUUAAAGAGCUGAACUGUGCUCUGAGGCAGGAGGAGAAAGAAAUAUAUGGGAGCUGACAUUAAGGGGGAUUAUAAAAUCAUAUUAUAACUUUACCUGCUUCUGCAAACAGAAAACACUACUAAAGCGAACCUCAGGUCAUUUCACACUUCACAAAAAGAAAAAAAAGAAAAGGCAUCUGAUACGUUAAAGAGAAGAACAAUAUUCAUAAUCAUAUCAAUAGUUCAUAAGUGCGUGGACCAUCUUAAAGAUUGUUGAGUACCGUACAAAAUCUACUAAUUCAAGAUAAACAAGACAAAUCAUCUACUAUAUAAGACAAACUUUGAGGCAGAAUAUAUAUCAAGCCUUAGAUAAAUAUUUCCUUCUAGACCAUAAAUUCCUCGGGGGAAGAAACCCUCAUUCUAUACUGUAUCUUCAGUAUCUUGGUUCCUCCUUCUUACUGAGCUUUGAAUGCUUUUGUUGACAUUUACCUUAAUUGGUAUUUUAAUUCUGCUUUUAUACACAAGAGUCAGUGUAUGUGAUUUUGUCCAUUAUUCUAAAGCACUAGAACUUUAGAUAUGAGUCACUAUAUUCUUGAGACCCAAGCUGAGAUUGGACUCCCUGGAAGCUACUGGCAAUACUAUAGACCUCUGACUGACCUGGAAGGAAGAUUAAACACCAGCACAACUUAUGAAACUACAAUCAAGACAAAGUUUGACAUAUUCCAUGGACUGCUCAAUGGCUCUAGAAGUUCUUUCAGAGGGAUUUAAUGGUAUUCCUUUCUCCGUACUAUCCAAAAUAUUUGUCUUUAAAAAGACAAUUAAAUAUAAACAACAUUUGUUAAAUGAUAUAAAAAAUGAAUUAAAGAAUAUGUGUAGAGAAAUCAAUAUUUGAAUAACAAGUGUUAGAAUCAUUAAAUUAUUACUCCUCCAUGUAUAAAUAAAACAUAAUGACUGUAGAAUACAGAAAAAAUUUAACUACAUUGGCGCAAGAAGCAAGGGAUUUGUAGGCCAGUAGGACAGCCAUAAUCUGUGUUAGUUUUAUUGAUAAGGAAUUAAAGUAAUUUCAGAAGAAAAA